GGCGGACGGGUGAGGAAUACAUCGGAAUCUACUCUGUCGUGGGGGAUAACGUAGGGAAACUUACGCUAAUACCGCAUACGACCUACGGGUGAAAGCAGGGGAUCUUCGGACCUUGCGCGAUUGAAUGAGCCGAUGUCGGAUUAGCUAGUUGGCGGGGUAAAGGCCCACCAAGGCGACGAUCCGUAGCUGGUCUGAGAGGAUGAUCAGCCACACUUGAACUGAGACACGGUCCAGACUCCUACGGGAGGCAGCAGU
This 255-nucleotide ribosomal RNA is filed under the name uncultured Stenotrophomonas sp. RNAcentral describes it as "partial 16S ribosomal RNA". It matches the Rfam family "Bacterial small subunit ribosomal RNA", at positions 97 to 355 of the family's 1533-position model. Lineage: Bacteria; Pseudomonadati; Pseudomonadota; Gammaproteobacteria; Lysobacterales; Lysobacteraceae. The record is from RNAcentral.